UAAGGAAUAUUGGACAAUGGACGCAAGUCUGAUCCAGCCAUGCCGCGUGAAGGAUGAAUGUCCUCUGGAUUGUAAACUUCUUUUAUAGGGGGCGAAAGUGAGUUUUUCUAAGCUUUUUGACGGUACCCUAUGAAUAAGCACCGGCUAACUCCGUGCCAGCAGCCGCGGUAAUACGGAGGGUGCAAGCGUUAUCCGGAUUCACUGGGUUUAAAGGGUGCGUAGGCGGGUAAUUAAGUCAGUGGUGAAAUCCCGGAGCUAAACUUCGGAACUGCCAUUGAUACUAUUUAUCUUGAAUAUUGAGGAGGUAUGCGGAAUAUGUCAUGUAGCGGUGAAAUGCUUAGAUAUGACAUAGAACACCGAUUGCGAAGGCAGCAUACUACGGAAAUAUUGACGCUGAGGC
Molecule: ribosomal RNA, 400 nt
Filed under: uncultured bacterium
Lineage: Bacteria
Description: bacterial SSU rRNA
Rfam family: Bacterial small subunit ribosomal RNA
Source: RNAcentral